Molecule: long non-coding RNA, 1455 nt
Filed under: Olea europaea subsp. europaea
Lineage: Eukaryota; Viridiplantae; Streptophyta; Magnoliopsida; Lamiales; Oleaceae
Source: RNAcentral
AUUAACGGAUAGAUAACAUUUAAGACUAUUAUCUUAAAAGUUUGUUUGAUAUAGAAUUUUAGAGUAUAAGCCCUUGUUUGAGUCUCAAAAGAACAAACUAUAAUUGAAAAAUAGAAGUUCAUCAUCAUUACUACCAAUGAUGGGCUCAGAAAAUGGUAAAUUCAAACUUUCCCAUUCAUUAAGAAGAUAACGACCUUGAAAAUUGGCAUGGCUCCAGUAUAGAACUUGACAGCAUGAGAAUUGGCUUCCGAUUUGAUACACAUCUCAAGUCUUGUUGUUAGAUCAUAAAUAAACUGCUCUUUUCACACAAGAUGAAAUUUGUGUUAACUCAUGCAUGCAGAAUUUACAGGAUGUAAAAACAUGCCAAAAUCUAUCUUCAAUGGUGGAAACAAUCACCAGUUCAAAGAAACUGACAAUGUUGAAAUCUUAUUCUUCAAUCAUGCAUAUUUUCUAAUUCAGAGCAGCUCAUAAUGGGAAGAUGCUUCUUCCCUAAGUUAAUCAUACUGCUCAAACUCUCAAAGCAAAGGGGAGACCAGAAUGAGUCACUCAGCCGUGUUCCUUCUUUAUACAAGUCACCCUUUCUUUAUUUUGCCAAAAUUAACAAUGGGAUAUCUGUAGCAGGAAAUUCAACAUAAAGACUAAUUGGUACUCAUUACAUUACCUGAACUUUUCGCAGUAAAUUGCGUGUGCAAUGCAGCUUCUCUACAUGCUCUCUUUUUUGCAAAAAGAGAAGGAUUGACGCCAUCACGCCUAGAUUGCACGGACAGAAUCUGCAACAAUUACGAUGAAUUUUGUUUUGAACAAGUUUUCAUCGUGUCUUUUUUUUUUUUUUUUUUUUAAACUACAAUUGGUAGUAACCAAAAAGAUCCUUGCCAAACACCUUUUCGUUAAGCUGUUCCAUGUUUGCUUCCAUACUAUUUAUAUUAUUUUUCAUCCUAGAAUAAUAGCGAAAACAAAUGAGAUUAACAAAAAGAAAUAAUAAAUGCAUCAAAAAUCAGGAGAAAUUCAACAUUAUAAAGGGAGUAGACUGUUGGAUGUAGAAGGAUAGAGAUUGAAGAAAUAUGAGAUUUUACUAAUGAAAUUUCGGGAUUACAAAAAAGUUGCUACAGCAUACUCUUCUCUCUAUUUUUUUAGAGGUUUUUUCCUCACUUUUUCUACAUACUUGACACUAGAUAGAUGCCUUCAUCUUUAUAGAAAAUAUUGAGUAAACUAGACCUAAGAAUUUACUACAACCACAACUAGAUAAUAGCUGUUUUUCUUCAUCAUUUGCAGCUAUUAUGUCUUCAAUUGCAGCUGUGUUUGAACAUGAGAAGUGUCAAAUGGCUGCUCCAUCAUGUAAUUUCCAGAUUACAGCUGUUAGUGAACAUCAAAUUGCUGCCUAUGUUCAUUUCCAGCUUGCAUAAGAUGAGUGUACAAAUUGAAUUGAAAAACUCAUCCAUUUGACCAUUCAAAGAA